UAUUGGACAAUGGGCGCAAGCCUGAUCCAGCCAUGCCGCGUGAGUGAUGAAGGCCUUCCCGUUGUAAAGCUCUUUUGCCGGGGACGAUAAUGACGGUACCCGGAGAAUAAGUCCCGGCUAACUUCGUGCCAGCAGCCGCGGUAAUACGAAGGGGACUAGCGUUGUUCGGAAUCACUGGGCGUAAAGCGCACGUAGGCGGAUUUGUAAGUCAGGGGUGAAAUCCCGGGGCUCAACCUCGGAACUGCCUUUGAUACUGCGAAUCUUGAGUCCGAUAGAGGUGGGUGGAAUUCCUAGUGUAGAGGUGAAAUUCGUAGAUAUUAGGAAGAACACCGGUGGCGAAGGCGGCCCACUGGAUCGGUACUGACGCUGAGGUGCGAAA
This 379-nucleotide ribosomal RNA is filed under the name uncultured bacterium. Its description in RNAcentral is "bacterial SSU rRNA". It matches the Rfam family "Bacterial small subunit ribosomal RNA", at positions 362 to 758 of the family's 1533-position model. The record is from RNAcentral.